Molecule: non-coding RNA, 77 nt
Organism: Potamilus streckersoni
Lineage: Eukaryota; Metazoa; Mollusca; Bivalvia; Unionida; Unionidae
Source: the annotation of a GenBank genome assembly
GACUGUUAUGGUGGCCUAGUGGUUAGAGCAUCUGCCAUGGAUGCAGGAGGUCACGGGUUCAAACCACAGCCAUGUCA